This 791-nucleotide ribosomal RNA is filed under the name uncultured prokaryote. RNAcentral's name for it is "bacterial SSU rRNA". It matches the Rfam family "Bacterial small subunit ribosomal RNA", at positions 697 to 1503 of the family's 1533-position model. The record is from RNAcentral.
UCACGANGAACUCCAAUUGCGAAGGCAGCUUACUAGGCUACAACUGACGCUGAAGCACGAAAGCGUGGGGAUCAAACAGGAUUAGAUACCCUGGUAGNCCACNCCGUAAACGAUGAAUGCUAGCUGUUAGCGAUAUACUGUUAGCGGCACAGAGAAAUCGUUAAGCAUUCCACCUGGGGAGUACGCCGGCAACGGUGAAACUCAAAGGAAUUGACGGGGGCCCGCACAAGCGGAGGAACAUGUGGUUUAAUUCGAUGAUACGCGAGGAACCUUACCUGGGCUUAAAUUGCAGUGGAAUAACGUGGAAACAUGUUAGCCUUCGGGCCGCUGUGAAGGUGCUGCAUGGUUGUCGUCAGCUCGUGCCGUGAGGUGUCGGCUUAAGUGCCAUAACGAGCGCAACCCUCAUCGAUAGUUACUAACAGGUUAAGCUGAGGACUCUAUCGAGACUGCCGACGUAAGUCGUGAGGAAGGUGGGGAUGACGUCAAAUCAGCACGGCCCUUACGUCCAGGGCUACACACGUGUUACAAUGGGGGGUACAAAGGGCAGCUACCUGGCGACAGGAUGCUAAUCUCAAAAACCUCUCUCAGUUCGAAUUGGAGUCUGCAACCCGACUCCAUGAAGCUGGAUUCGCUAGUAAUCGCGCAUCAGCCACGGCGCGGUGAAUACGUUCCCGGGCCUUGUACACACCGCCCGUCAAGCCAUGGGAGCCGGGGGGACCUGAAGUAUGCAACCGUAAGGAGCGUCCUAGGGUAAAACUGGUGACUGGGGCUAAGUCGUAACAGGUAGCCGU